UGACUGUCUGGACACAGUAGUA
RNAcentral lists this microRNA (22 nucleotides) under Schistosoma japonicum. RNAcentral's name for it is "miRNA-3002-a". Lineage: Eukaryota; Metazoa; Platyhelminthes; Trematoda; Strigeidida; Schistosomatidae. The record is from RNAcentral.